RNAcentral lists this unclassified non-coding RNA (306 nucleotides) under Hevea brasiliensis (rubber tree). Lineage: Eukaryota; Viridiplantae; Streptophyta; Magnoliopsida; Malpighiales; Euphorbiaceae. The record is from RNAcentral.
UUUGCUGAUUCUCUUGCUCUCUUUCGCUUCCUCAAAAAGGCUUAUCGUCUUUUGAGCUUCCUCUACCCUCAUGAAACGCAUCAAAUCUACCAAGUAGAUAUACUUGGCGCCGGGCUUAGCAACAUUUUGAAAGAUUUUCUUCGCAGCAAUCUUUGCCUCCUGCUCGCUCCUAAUCGUCACUGCUGACUCGUCCUCUCCAAUAUCUUGCGGUAUCCGCUCUUCCAGCGUCGUCAACGCGCCAUGCCUAACAAUCCUUAUCAACCUCUUCAUGUUCCAAGCAGACACAUUCUUCUGAUUUAGUUUGUG